UACGGGGGGGGCAAGCGUUGUUCGGAAUUACUGGGCGUAAAGGGCUCGUAGGCGGCCAACUAAGUCAGACGUGAAAUCCCUCGGCUUAACCGGGGAACUGCGUCUGAUACUGGAUGGCUAGAGGUUGGGAGAGGGAUGCGGAAUUCCAGGUGUAGCGGUGAAAUGCGUAGAUAUCUGGAGGAACACCGGUGGCGAAGGCGGCAUCCUGGACCGGUAUUGACGCUGAGGCGCGAAAGCCAGGGGAGCAAACGGG
Molecule: ribosomal RNA, 253 nt
Filed under: uncultured bacterium
Lineage: Bacteria
Description: partial 16S ribosomal RNA
Rfam family: Bacterial small subunit ribosomal RNA
Source: RNAcentral